This 74-nucleotide transfer RNA is filed under the name Salmo salar (Atlantic salmon). It matches the Rfam family "tRNA". Rfam says of the family: Transfer RNA (tRNA) molecules are approximately 80 nucleotides in length. Their secondary structure includes four short double-helical elements and three loops (D, anti-codon, and T loops). Further hydrogen bonds mediate the characteristic L-shaped molecular structure. tRNAs have two regions of fundamental functional importance: the anti-codon, which is responsible for specific mRNA codon recognition, and the 3' end, to which the tRNAs corresponding amino acid is attached (by aminoacyl-tRNA synthetases). tRNAs cope with the degeneracy of the genetic code in two manners: having more than one tRNA (with a specific anti-codon) for a particular amino acid; and 'wobble' base-pairing, i.e. permitting non-standard base-pairing at the 3rd anti-codon position. The record is from Rfam by way of RNAcentral. Lineage: Eukaryota; Metazoa; Chordata; Actinopteri; Salmoniformes; Salmonidae.
UCCCCUGUAGCUCAGUUGGUAGAGCAUGGCUGCUUGCAACGCCAGGCUUGUGGGUUCGAUUCCCACGGGGGGCC